UUGAUCAUAUAAGCGCUGCCGUUGUCGGGAAAGGAAGACCUCAGUGGAAAAGUAAUUCACCGCACGACUUUCUGAAUCUAGCUUAAGGUAUGAAAUGCUCUUUGUUUGCCGUGUUUCUGUUGACAAUUUGUGUCAUUUUGGUGGAGCCAGCUCCGAGGCAGAUUGAUGAAGCUGACGCAUUUUUCCGCGACUGGGUGUUGGUCCGCAGGAAACCAUGCAAACCAAAUUGGGCCGAGUGUAACGAUUCCAGAGAGUGCUGUGGCGGUUCAGCUGCAAUCUGUUCAUUCAACGGCAAGAAAAAACAGUGUUACGUUUAUUAAUCUUGACUUCCACUCCCAGCUAGAGUCUGCUUUGUAAUAUUUAAAAUGUCCUUGACGUAGACAAUUAGACACGUUUUAUUUACAUAUUAGUUGUUCGAGCCAUUUAGCUGCACGUCAGAGAAAUUUUGUCUCUCGUGCGCCUUUUUUAGAGGUUUAGAGUGUAUUGGUAAAGGACAAAAAUAUAAAUAAAUCAGCGAUUUGAAAUUCACGUUAA
Molecule: long non-coding RNA, 534 nt
Organism: Pocillopora damicornis (cauliflower coral)
Lineage: Eukaryota; Metazoa; Cnidaria; Anthozoa; Scleractinia; Pocilloporidae
Source: RefSeq, a predicted model, not a curated record